Molecule: long non-coding RNA, 603 nt
Filed under: Citrus sinensis (sweet orange)
Lineage: Eukaryota; Viridiplantae; Streptophyta; Magnoliopsida; Sapindales; Rutaceae
Description: long non-coding RNA (CSIN_LNC005774)
Source: RNAcentral
UUUUUUUUUCAAAAAAGAAAAAAGAAAACAGUGCAUGUUCUCUUACCAUUUUUUUAUUUUAAAAUUAGUAUUAAAUGCUAUUCAUUAUCAUUAAUCCUUUUGGAUCAUUGAAAGCUGGAACAAAAUCUUGACUGUUGUUUUGGUGGGUAAGGCCUCAAUUUUGGAAUUCUAAAUUUAUACAUUAAUAGUGCAGUAUGGACUCUUGAGGAUUACCGAGUAUAGUUUAGAAUCUGUACCAACAGGAGCAGGGGCAAAUUUAGAAAUUUAAUUUAUUUCAGAUUCUUCCUUAUAAUAUAGUCUAUAAUAAAAAUUAACAAUCCAUAAAAUUGACUCAAAUGUCAAAUUUCUUUAUAAACCCCCCCGGCCAAACAAAAUUUUUAAAAAUAUUAAUUAUAUGAAAAUAAAUAUAUAUAUAUUUUUUUUGGUUGAGUGAGGUCAAUUGUUCGCACUAAUGUCUAUGUAGAUAUGCCCCUAAAUAGAAAGUGAGACUUCUACCCCACAUAUAAGAAUACACUACUAGAAAAAUGAUUUACUAUGACAGAUUUUUUGUGAUAGAUAAUAAAAAAUUAGUUAUUUAUCAAGAAUGUAUGAUAGACAUUUGAC